Molecule: non-coding RNA, 133 nt
Filed under: Candidatus Nitrotoga sp. BS
Lineage: Bacteria; Pseudomonadati; Pseudomonadota; Betaproteobacteria; Nitrosomonadales; Gallionellaceae
Source: RNAcentral
CCACCCGUGUCACCGGGUGAAUCUAGGAGCCUGAAUAAAGCAGCGGCUCUGACAAUGUAACGAAGCGUCGCAAGGCGCGGGGCGCAACUUGCGAGAGGCGCGCCUCUCUAGCAGCCACAAGCUGGAUAAGUGC